Molecule: ribosomal RNA, 757 nt
Filed under: uncultured bacterium
Lineage: Bacteria
Description: bacterial SSU rRNA
Rfam family: Bacterial small subunit ribosomal RNA
Source: RNAcentral
ACGCUUCUUUUUCACCGGAGCUUGCUCCACCGGAAAAAGAGGAGUGGCGAACGGGUGAGUAACACGUGGGUAACCUGCCCAUCAGAAGGGGAUAACACUUGGAAACAGGUGCUAAUACCGUAUAACAAUCAAAACCGCAUGGUUUUGAUUUGAAAGGCGCUUUCGGGUGUCGCUGAUGGAUGGACCCGCGGUGCAUUAGCUAGUUGGUGAGGUAACGGCUCACCAAGGCCACGAUGCAUAGCCGACCUGAGAGGGUGAUCGGCCACAUUGGGACUGAGACACGGCCCAAACUCCUACGGGAGGCAGCAGUAGGGAAUCUUCGGCAAUGGACGAAAGUCUGACCGAGCAACGCCGCGUGAGUGAAGAAGGUUUUCGGAUCGUAAAACUCUGUUGUUAGAGAAGAACAAGGAUGAGAGUAACUGUUCAUCCCUUGACGGUAUCUAACCAGAAAGCCACGGCUAACUACGUGCCAGCAGCCGCGGUAAUACGUAGGUGGCAAGCGUUGUCCGGAUUUAUUGGGCGUAAAGCGAGCGCAGGCGGUUUCUUAAGUCUGAUGUGAAAGCCCCCGGCUCAACCGGGGAGGGUCAUUGGAAACUGGGAGACUUGAGUGCAGAAGAGGAGAGUGGAAUUCCAUGUGUAGCGGUGAAAUGCGUAGAUAUAUGGAGGAACACCAGUGGCGAAGGCGGCUCUCUGGUCUGUAACUGACGCUGAGGCUCGAAAGCGUGNGGAGCAAACAGGAUUAGAUACCCUGGUAGUC